UACGAAGAGAACUAGCGUUGUUCGGAAUCACUGGGCGUAAAGCGCACGUAGGCGGAUUUGUCAGUCAGGGGUGAAAUCCCGGGGCUCAACCUCGGAACUGCCUUUGAUACAGCAAGUCUUGAGUUCGAGAGAGGUGGGUGGAAUUCCUAGUGUAGAGGUGAAAUUCGUAGAUAUUAGGAAGAACACCGGUGGCGAAGGCGGCCCACUGGCUCGAUACUGACGCUGAGGUGCGAAAGCGUGGGUAGCAAACAUG
Molecule: ribosomal RNA, 253 nt
Filed under: uncultured bacterium
Lineage: Bacteria
Description: partial 16S ribosomal RNA
Rfam family: Bacterial small subunit ribosomal RNA
Source: RNAcentral